RNAcentral lists this unclassified non-coding RNA (390 nucleotides) under fungal sp. Its description in RNAcentral is "partial internal transcribed spacer region". Lineage: Eukaryota; Fungi. The record is from RNAcentral.
GAGUCGUAACAAGGUUUCAGUUGGUGAACCUGCGGAAGGAUCAUUAACACGUAUCCUGCUCUUGUAUUCCGCGUAGUUCGCAUUCUCUGAUAAAUCAUAGCCCGGAAAGUUGUAGUGAUUCAGAGACCUCUGGCUACGUGCGAGCAUUGGAACAGUUACAAUCGAACGGUAGUUCUAUAGGCAAUGUUUCCCAAAGCAGUCAGUGUCGGAAAGUGUCAUUGAUUGUGCAAGGAUAGCGCUUCUACGACUCCUGUAGACCGUACACUCGGGCAGGAGCUUUGCCAAAGGGUCCCCAUGCCCCCUAAUAACCCCACAGUUUAAUGUGAAGCUCAAUGUAAUACAUUGGGUAAAAAAACCGAACAACUGCGAACAAUGGAUAUCUUGGUUCUC